CCUACGGGAGGCAGUAGUGAGGAAUAUUGGUCAAUGGACGAGAGUCUGAACCAGCCAAGUAGCGUGAAGGAUGACUGCCCUAUGGGUUGUAAACUUCUUUUAUAUGGGAAUAAAAUGUUCCACGUGUGGCAUUUUGUAUGUACCAUAUGAAUAAGGAUCGGCUAACUCCGUGCCAGCAGCCGCGGUAAUACGGAGGAUCCGAGCGUUAUCCGGAUUUAUUGGGUUUAAAGGGAGCGUAGAUGGGUUGUUAAGUCAGUUGUGAAAGUUUGCGGCUCAACCGUAAAAUUGCAAUUGAUACUGGGAGUCUUGAGUACAGUUGAGGUAGGCGGAAUUCGUGGUGUAGCGGUGAAAUGCUUAGAUAUCACGAAGAACUCCGAUUGCGAAGGCAGGUUACUAAACUUCCACUGACAUUGAUGCUCGAAAGUGUGGGUAGCGAACAGGAUUAGAUACCCGGGUAGUC
This 460-nucleotide ribosomal RNA is filed under the name uncultured bacterium. RNAcentral's name for it is "partial 16S ribosomal RNA". It matches the Rfam family "Bacterial small subunit ribosomal RNA", at positions 338 to 795 of the family's 1533-position model. The record is from RNAcentral.